RNAcentral lists this ribosomal RNA (464 nucleotides) under uncultured bacterium. RNAcentral's name for it is "bacterial SSU rRNA". It matches the Rfam family "Bacterial small subunit ribosomal RNA", at positions 330 to 792 of the family's 1533-position model. The record is from RNAcentral.
CCCAGACUCCUACGGGAGGCAGCAGUGAGGAAUAUUGGUCAAUGGCCGCAGGGCUGAACCAGCCAAGUCGCGUGAGGGAUGACGGUCCUAUGGAUUGUAAACCUCUUUUGUCAGGGAGCAAAGGGCGCCACGUGUGGCGCUUUGCGAGUACCUGAAGAAAAAGCAUCGGCUAACUCCGUGCCAGCAGCCGCGGUAAUACGGAGGAUGCGAGCGUUAUCCGGAUUUAUUGGGUUUAAAGGGUGCGCAGGCGGAAUGUCAAGUCAGCGGUAAAAUUUCGGGGCUCAACCCCUUCGUGCCGUUGAAACUGGCAGUCUUGAGUGGGCGAGAAGUAUGCGGAAUGCGUGGUGUAGCGGUGAAAUGCAUAGAUAUCACGCAGAACUCCGAUUGCGAAGGCAGCAUACCGGCGCCCGACUGACGCUGAGGCACGAAAGCGUGGGUAUCGAACAUGAUUAGAUACCCUGGUA